Molecule: ribosomal RNA, 157 nt
Filed under: Bacillus sp. RS2
Lineage: Bacteria; Bacillati; Bacillota; Bacilli; Caryophanales; Bacillaceae
Description: partial 16S ribosomal RNA
Rfam family: Bacterial small subunit ribosomal RNA
Source: RNAcentral
UAGGGAAUCUUCCGCAAUGGACGAAAGUCUGACGGAGCAACGCCGCGUGAGUGAUGAAGGUUUUCGGAUCGUAAAGCUCUGUUGCCAGGGAAGAACGUCCGUUAGAGUAACUGCUAACGGAGUGACGCCUGAGAAGAAAGCCCCGGCUAACUACGUG